GACGAACGCUGGCGGCGUGCCUAAUACAUGCAAGUCGAGCGGACCUUUUAAAAGCUUGCUUCUAUAAGGUUAGCGGCGGACGGGUGAGUAACACGUGGGUAACCUGCCUGUAAGACUGGGAUAACUUCGGGAAACCGGGGCUAAUACCGGAUCAUUUAUUGACCCGCAUGGGGCAAAAGGAAAGGAGGCUUCUGCUGCCACUUAUAGAUGGACCCGCGCCGCAUUAGCUAGUUGGGGAGGUAACGGCUCACCAAGGCAACGAUGCGUAGCCGACCUGAGAGGUUGUCCGGCCCCACUGGACCGAGACACGGCCCCAACCCCCUCCGGGGGCCGCCGUUGGGAAUUCUUCGGCAAUGGGGGAAGGCCGACCGGGCCACGCCCCCGGAGUGGAGGAGGGCUUCCGGUCGGUAAACCCCUGUUAUGGGGGAGAACCAAAUGCGUAAGAACCUGGGCACGUCUUGACGGUACCCGGUCAGAAAGCCACGGCUAACUACGUG
Molecule: ribosomal RNA, 497 nt
Filed under: uncultured bacterium
Lineage: Bacteria
Description: partial 16S ribosomal RNA
Rfam family: Bacterial small subunit ribosomal RNA
Source: RNAcentral